This 723-nucleotide long non-coding RNA is filed under the name Chrysolophus pictus (golden pheasant). Its description in RNAcentral is "lncRNA (ENSCPIG00010011324.1)". Lineage: Eukaryota; Metazoa; Chordata; Aves; Galliformes; Phasianidae. The record is from RNAcentral.
UUCUGAAAUUAAAUACGCCCCUUAAUUCUGUGUGAGGUCAAACUUUCCCUCACAGACUUCAUCUGCUUAACGCGAGCGGCUGCACGCGGUGAUGCUGAGGAGACCUGAUCCCCUUUUCUCGGCCCUGUUUUAAGAACAUCACGGAACCUCCUCAUUUUGUGGAGGGGGGGGGAAGAAAAAAAUAGAAUAAAAAAUAAAAGGGGGUUAAAAAAUGAGCAAACGGAGGAUGUUUUCCUCACAGAAAGGGGAGGGGGAGGCAGGCGGCCGCGCGGCACAGCGCCGCCCGCGGUACUGCAGGGCCCCGCCCGCUGCUGCUUCACAAAAUGGCGCCCGGCGGGGCCGCGCCGAGCGGUGCUGAGGCGACAAAAUGGGGGCGGGCGGGCAGCGAGGGAAGGGCCUCAGGGCCCCUCGUUCCUCUCCCGUCUCGUUUUGAGGUGUUUUUCCCCUCGCAGCGUGAAGAUUUUGGGGGGUUGCAGUCUUUGCUGUCCUCACCGCGUGGAAAAUGCCCAAAAAAACAAAACAAAACAACACCCAAAAAGCCCCGAACAGCCGGGGGGACUGAAGGAAGGAACUGCCUCCUCACAGCCACCAUUCUGGGAAAUGCAGGAUUGUUUGUGUAACUCCCACUCUGCAGCAGAUAGCUUCUCUGUCACCAUGACUUCAAAAUGCACAGUCCAAGCAGUGAGCAAGGAGAGCAGGCCACGAUACCCUGAUACCCCGUAG